Molecule: ribosomal RNA, 561 nt
Filed under: Alternaria brassicae
Lineage: Eukaryota; Fungi; Ascomycota; Dothideomycetes; Pleosporales; Pleosporaceae
Description: eukaryotic LSU rRNA
Rfam family: 5.8S ribosomal RNA (bases 180-333)
Source: RNAcentral
AGCAUGGUCAUUACGCGGGUGUGAGGGCGGGCUGGACCCUUCUCGGGGUUACAGCCUUGCUGAAUUAUUCCCCCUUGUCUUUUGCGUACUUCUUGUUUCCUUGGUGGGUUCGCCCACCACUAGGACAAACAUAAACCUUUUGUAAUUGCAAUCAGCGUCAGUAACAAAUUAAUAAUUACAACUUUCAACAACGGAUCUCUUGGUUCUGGCAUCGAUGAAGAACGCAGCGAAAUGCGAUAAGUAGUGUGAAUUGCAGAAUUCAGUGAAUCAUCGAAUCUUUGAACGCACAUUGCGCCCUUUGGUAUUCCAAAGGGCAUGCCUGUUCGAGCGUCAUUUGUACCCUCAAGCUUUGCUUGGUGUUGGGCGUCUUGUCUCUAGCUUUGCUGGAGACUCGCCUUAAAGUAAUUGGCAGCCGGCCUACUGGUUUCGGAGCGCAGCACAAGUCGCACUCUCUAUCAGCAAAGGUCUAGCAUCCAUUAAGCCUUUUUUUCAACUUUUGACCUCGGAUCACGUAGGGAUACCCGCUGAACUUAAGCAUAUCAAUAAAGCCGGAGGAAAAAA